This 285-nucleotide unclassified non-coding RNA is filed under the name fungal sp. Its description in RNAcentral is "partial internal transcribed spacer region". The stretch from base 1 to 46 matches the Rfam family "Eukaryotic small subunit ribosomal RNA", at positions 1786 to 1831 of the family's 1831-position model. Lineage: Eukaryota; Fungi. The record is from RNAcentral.
AAGUCGUAACAAGGUUUCCGUAGGUGAACCUGCGGAAGGAUCAUUAAUGAAUGAAUGUAGAGUCGGUUGUAGCUGGGUCUUUUAAUCGAGGCCAUGUGCACGCCUUCUCUUUCAUCCACACACACCUGUGCACCUGUUUAGACGGUCGAAGGAAAAAGUCUUUCUCGCGAGAGAGAGGCUGGCUCCUUUUCCGUCCAAUACAUAAAAUCUUAUAUAUCUAAUCAGAAUGUAAUCGAUGUAAACGCAUCUAUAAACUAAGUUUCAACAACGGAUCUCUUGGUUCUC